UGGCUGAGUGGUAAAGCGCUUGGCUUCAGAACCAGGGGUCCCGGGUUCGAAUCCUGG
Molecule: non-coding RNA, 57 nt
Organism: Biomphalaria glabrata
Lineage: Eukaryota; Metazoa; Mollusca; Gastropoda; Planorbidae
Source: Rfam